This 904-nucleotide long non-coding RNA is filed under the name Homo sapiens (human). Its description in RNAcentral is "long non-coding RNA NONHSAT162235.1". Lineage: Eukaryota; Metazoa; Chordata; Mammalia; Primates; Hominidae. The record is from RNAcentral.
UUUGGAGGUGGUGGAAGCUACAAUGAUUUUGGGAAUUACAACAAUCAGUCUUCAAAUUUUGGACCCAUGAAGGGAGGAAAUUUUGGAGGCAGAAGCUCUGGCCCCUAUGGCGGUGGAGGCCAAUACUUUGCAAAACCACGAAACCAAGGUGGCUAUGGCGGUUCCAGCAGCAGCAGUAGCUAUGGCAGUGGCAGAAGAUUUUAAUUAGGAAACAAAGCUUAGCAGGAGAGGAGAGCCAGAGAAGUGACAGGGAAGCUACAGGUUACAACAGAUUUGUGAACUCAGCCAAGCACAGUGGUGGCAGGGCCUAGCUGCUACAAAGAAGACAUGUUUUAGACAAAUACUCAUGUGUAUGGGCAAAAAACUCGAGGACUGUAUUUGUGACUAAUUGUAUAACAGGUUAUUUUAGUUUCUGUUCUGUGGAAAGUGUAAAGCAUUCCAACAAAGGGUUUUAAUGUAGAUUUUUUUUUUUGCACCCCAUGCUGUUGAUUGCUAAAUGUAACAGUCUGAUCGUGACGCUGAAUAAAUGUCUUUUUUUUAAUGUGCUGUGUAAAGUUAGUCUACUCUUAAGCCAUCUUGGUAAAUUUCCCCAACAGUGUGAAGUUAGAAUUCCUUCAGGGUGAUGCCAGGUUCUAUUUGGAAUUUAUAUACAACCUGCUUGGGUGGAGAAGCCAUUGUCUUCGGAAACCUUGGUGUAGUUGAACUGAUAGUUACUGUUGUGACCUGAAGUUCACCAUUAAAAGGGAUUACCCAAGCAAAAUCAUGGAAUGGUUAUAAAAGUGAUUGUUGGCACAUCCUAUGCAAUAUAUCUAAAUUGAAUAAUGGUACCAGAUAAAAUUAUAGAUGGGAAUGAAGCUUGUGUAUCCAUUAUCAUGUGUAAUCAAUAAACGAUUUAAUUCUCUUG